GUACUUACCGGGCAGGGGAGAUACCAUGAUCACAAAGGUGGUUUUCCCAGGACGAGGCUUAUCCACUGCACUCCAGAUGUGCUGACCCCUGCGAUUUCCCCAUAUGGGGAGACUUGACGGCAUAAUUUGUGGUAGUGGGAGAAGUGCAUUCAUGCUCUCUCCUG
Small nuclear RNA from Prolemur simus (greater bamboo lemur), 164 nucleotides. Its record names the gene U1. It matches the Rfam family "U1 spliceosomal RNA". Rfam says of the family: U1 is a small nuclear RNA (snRNA) component of the spliceosome (involved in pre-mRNA splicing). Its 5' end forms complementary base pairs with the 5' splice junction, thus defining the 5' donor site of an intron. The record is from Ensembl. Lineage: Eukaryota; Metazoa; Chordata; Mammalia; Primates; Lemuridae.